This 108-nucleotide ribosomal RNA is filed under the name Scophthalmus maximus (turbot). Lineage: Eukaryota; Metazoa; Chordata; Actinopteri; Pleuronectiformes; Scophthalmidae. The record is from RNAcentral.
GCUUACGGCCACACCGCCUGGUUCACGCCCGAUCCGGAAGCUAAGAUAGGUUGGGCCUGGUUAGUACUUGGAUGGGAGACCGCCUGGGAAUACCAGGUGCUGUAAGCU